Molecule: ribosomal RNA, 500 nt
Filed under: uncultured bacterium
Lineage: Bacteria
Description: partial 16S ribosomal RNA
Rfam family: Bacterial small subunit ribosomal RNA
Source: RNAcentral
AUUGAACGCUGGCGGAAUGCUUUACACAUGCAAGUCGAACGGCAGCACGGACUUCGGUCUGGUGGCGAGUGGCGAACGGGUGAGUAAUGUAUCGGAACGUGCCCAGUCGUGGGGGAUAACGUAGUGAAAAUUACGCUAAUACCGCAUACGAUCUAUGGAUGAAAGCGGGGGAUCGCAAGACCUCGCGCGAUUGGAGCGGCCGAUAUCAGAGUAGGUAGUUGGUGGGGCAAAGGCCCACCAAGCCAACGAUCUGUAGCUGGUCUGAGAGGACGGCCAGCCACACUGGAACUGAGACACGGUCCAGACUCCUACGGGAGGCAGCAGUGGGGAAUUUUGGACAAUGGGCGAAAGCCUGAUCCAGCCAUUCCGCGUGCAGGAUGAAGGCCCUCGGGUUGUAAACUGCUUUUGUACAGAACGAAAAGGUUUCUACUAAUACUAGGAGCUCAUGACGGUACUGUAAGAAUAAGCACCGGCUAACUACGUGCCAGCCGCCGCAGUAA